GAUGAACGCUGGCGGCGUGCCUAAUACAUGCAAGUCGAGCGAACGGACGAGUAGCUUGCUUCUCUCUUGUUACCGGCGGAUGGGUGACUCACACGUGGACAACCUACAUAUAAGACUGGGCUACAUUAGGGCAACCCGAACUACUACCGGAUCAUAUUUUGAACCGCACGGUUCAAAAGUGAAAGACGGUCUUGCUUUCACUUAUAGAUGAAUCCGCGCUGCAUUAGCUAGUUGGUAAGGUAACGGAUUACCAAGGCAACGAGUCAUAGCCGACCGGAGCGGGGGAUGGGCCACACGAGAAGUGGGACACGGACCAGACGCCUGCGGGAGGCAGCAGUAGGGAAUGGGCCGCAGUGGGCGAAAGUCUGACGGAGCAGCGCCGCGUGAGAGAUGAAGGUGUUGGGAGCGUAAAGCACGGUUAUGAGGGAAGAACAUAUGUGUAAGGAGCUGUGCAGAUCUUGACGGUACCUGAUCAGAAAGCCACGGCUAACUACGUG
RNAcentral lists this ribosomal RNA (497 nucleotides) under uncultured bacterium. RNAcentral describes it as "partial 16S ribosomal RNA". It matches the Rfam family "Bacterial small subunit ribosomal RNA", at positions 28 to 507 of the family's 1533-position model. The record is from RNAcentral.